CAGAGUUCAUGCCCUUACGGGUAGAUCUCCCACCCUGUGUUAUUAUUACCUUUGUUGCUUUGGCGGGCCGCCUAGCUUCGGCCAGGCUACCGGCUCCGGCUGGUAAGCGCCCGCCAGAGGACCCCAAACUCUGAAUGUUAGUGUCGUCUGAGUACUAUACAAUAGUUA
RNAcentral lists this unclassified non-coding RNA (168 nucleotides) under uncultured Leptodontidium. Its description in RNAcentral is "sequence contains ITS1". Lineage: Eukaryota; Fungi; Ascomycota. The record is from RNAcentral.